RNAcentral lists this ribosomal RNA (425 nucleotides) under uncultured bacterium. RNAcentral's name for it is "bacterial SSU rRNA". It matches the Rfam family "Bacterial small subunit ribosomal RNA", at positions 355 to 772 of the family's 1533-position model. The record is from RNAcentral.
UGGGGAAUAUUGGACAAUGGGCGCAAGCCUGAUCCAGCCAUGCCGCGUGUGUGAAGAAGGCCUUCGGGUUGUAAAGCACUUUUGUUCGGGAAGAAAAGCUUCGGGCUAAUACCCCGGGGUACUGCCGGUACCGAAAGAAUAAGCACCGGCUAACUUCGUGCCAGCAGCCGCGGUAAUACGAAGGGUGCAAGCGUUACUCGGAAUUACUGGGCGUAAAGCGUGCGUAGGUGGUUCGUUAAGUCUGCCGUGAAAGCCCCGGGCUCAACCUGGGAAUGGCGGUGGAUACUGGCGGACUAGAGUGCGGUAGAGGGUGGUGGAAUUCCCGGUGUAGCAGUGAAAUGCGUAGAGAUCGGGAGGAACAUCUGUGGCGAAGGCGGCCACCUGGACCAGCACUGACACUGAGGCACGAAAGCGUGGGGAGCAAA